Molecule: ribosomal RNA, 253 nt
Filed under: uncultured bacterium
Lineage: Bacteria
Description: partial 16S ribosomal RNA
Rfam family: Bacterial small subunit ribosomal RNA
Source: RNAcentral
UACAGAGGGUGCGAGCGUUAAUCGGAAUUACUGGGCGUAAAGCGUGCGCAGGCGGUUUUGUAAGCCAGGGGUGAAAUCCCCGGGCUCAACCUGGGAAUGGCAUUUGGGACUGCAAGGCUGGAGUGCGGCAGAGGAGACUGGAAUUCCUGGUGUAGCAGUGAAAUGCGUAGAUAUCAGGAGGAAUACCGAUGGCGAAGGCAGGUCUCUGGGCUGACACUGACGCUCAUGCACGAAAUCGUGGGGAGCAAACAGG